AUUGAACGCUGGCGGCAUGCCUUACACAUGCAAGUCGAACGGCAGCACGGGGCAACCUGGUGGCGAGUGGCGAACGGGUGAGUAAUGCAUCGGAACGUGCCAUUGAGUGGGGGAUAACGUAGCGAAAGUUGCGCUAAUACCGCAUAUUCUGUGAGCAGGAAAGCAAGGGGACCGCAAGGCCUUGCGCUCUUUGAGCGGCCGAUGUCAGAUUAGCUAGUUGGUGAGGUAACGGCUUACCAAGGCGACGAUCUGUAGCGGGUCUGAGAGGAUGAUCCGCCACACUGGAACUGAGACACGGUCCAGACUCCUACGGGAGGCAGCAGUGGGGAAUUUUGGACAAUGGGCGCAAGCCUGAUCCAGCCAUGCCGCGUGAGUGAAGAAGGCCUCGG
This 389-nucleotide ribosomal RNA is filed under the name uncultured bacterium. RNAcentral describes it as "bacterial SSU rRNA". It matches the Rfam family "Bacterial small subunit ribosomal RNA", at positions 30 to 420 of the family's 1533-position model. The record is from RNAcentral.